Long non-coding RNA from Galeopterus variegatus (Sunda flying lemur), 1920 nucleotides. RefSeq lists it as uncharacterized. The record is from RefSeq and is a predicted model, not a curated record. The transcript has 3 exons. Lineage: Eukaryota; Metazoa; Chordata; Mammalia; Dermoptera; Cynocephalidae.
UGCCUUCCCUCCAAGCCAAAAGCUGCUGUUUUCUGGGGAUUUUCUCAAGCUCUUCCAGGUGAAAUGUACAGAACAUUACUUAAUGUAAGAACAACACAGAGCAAUGGAGAAGUUCUUUCCACUUUGGUACCAAACUGAAUUCAAAUACCUGUUUCCUGUGUCAGGUUCAGUAUAAAACUAUAUUCAUCCUCAUGUCUAUGGACCAGUGUCUUGAUGAUCAACCUCUAGUAAAGUUUCGUGAGCCUGCAUCUCUGAAUCCGGCAACUCUCCUCCCAGAUGACGACCCAGAGGAACCCCUCCUCGACUGCGUCAAAACUAUAGAGGCACUCCAGGAACUCUGACCUGACCUGACAGAUGUGCCCUGGGAGGAACCUUAUGAGGUGAUGUUCACAGAUGGAAGCAGCUUCAUUGCCGACGGGAUCAGCCCUUCAACAGGUACUGAACCAAAUUCACCCCUUGAUUCGAGAAGCCCACCCACUGGCAAGAGAACUGACACCACACCCACACCAGCCAGGGACCUCUUCUGGGUAAAGCACCACCACCCGUCUACCCUUGAGCCCAGGUGGCAAGGACCCUUCCAUCCUGACCACCCCAAUGGCUGUAAAGGUUGCAGGAAAGAGCCAUUGGAUACAUCACACCCAACUCAAAUGAGCCUCCAAACCUGACUGAUGGACCUGCAACAAUUCCAGGAAAAAUGGAUGGCCCAGCACUCACCAGAAGACUCACUAAAGAUAAGACUCACUCAUCUCCUUAAUUGUAUUAAUUGUUUUUCAUUAUGUAAUGUCUGUAUUGGGGAGCCUGCAUCAACCUAAAACUUAUACCUGGGAGUUAAAUGCCACUAGUACAGGAAAAAUUAUUGACUGUCACUACCCCAGAGGCCCCAACCUUCCUAGUUGAUCUCUGUGAAUUAAUGUCAGGCAGUCUCCAAUUAAAAACCCAGACUACUGGCAUCCAGGCUAAUGGACCUAUGGGGGGAGGAGUAAUGGUAGUAUCCCCCCCCACUCAUGUGGCUACCAAAAAUAUGAACAGGGAUUAAGGGGCAUACAAUUUUAUGCAUGCCCAGCUUCAGCCAGUCCCUCCUGCCAAGGGGAAAAACAAUACCACUGUGCCGUUUGGGACUAUGAAACUGAAUUCUCUUGGACACACACAGAACCUUGGAUACAGCUGACUAGAUGACAAGCCCGCUCAGGGGACUGCUCUGUUAACCAAUGUAACCCCAUGAAUCUAACUCAUACUUCGGCAUCCAUAUAUGAGUGAGACAUGGAAGGCUGGUAGGACCUGGGGCAUAAGGCUACAUAUUUCUUGAGUAGACCCUGGGGGAGAAUUCACUAUUCAAUUGCUAUGAGAAAAACAACUGAGCAUCCCUAUUGGCCCUAACCAGGAUCUCCUACCCCUUCCCCCAUGCUCCAAAUACCCUAACCAAGAUGUUCUCCCUCAACCUCCACCCUCACCCCCUUAUUCGACUCCCCAGGUUCAAACCCCCAAGUCCCUUAACCGAACCUCUAACUAUGUUUUUACAAAUCCUCUCCUUAAUACUUUAGACUCUGUCUUUAUGUUUAUUAAUCAGUCUAACCCAAGUUUAACAUCCGAUUGUUGGCUAUGCUUAAAUCCUGAACCUCCUUAUUAUGUUGGGUUAGGUGUAAACAGCUCUUUAGGGGAAAGUAACAGAACUGUAAGAGCUCGAAGUUUAUUUGCAAUCGCCAUCCAAAAGCUUUGCUCAUGGAGAAGGAAGCCCAAAUUCACACUCGGUGGCAUUAGAGACCAAGGGCUUUGCAUAAAAACAAGCAACUACAGUCUCCAGAGUUCCCCAUAUAAAACAACAUGCACAUAUGUAAUAGACAUCACUAAUGCAAUCCAUAGUCAACAAGAAUCUAAAUACCUUGUUGCCCUCUCCCACACUUGGUUUGCUUGCUUAACAGG